CCAACCCUGGCUGACAGCUCACUCGGAAGAUUCUAGAUCCCAAUUCUAGAAGUUCUGAUGCAUUAGCUCUGGGAUUUACGAACUUCCCCAGACCACUUGUCAAGCCUCUGUGACCUGAGAUGUGGCUACACUUUCCAUCACAUCAUUGUCAUGAGAUCAUAGGGAAACAGGCCAGAAGAGGGAACCUGAUCUCAUUACAGAUGGUUGUGAGCCACCAUGUGGUUGUUGGGAAUUGAACUCAGGACCUCUGGAAGAACAGCCAGUGCUCUUAACCUCUGAGCCAUCUCUCCAGCCCGGGAGAAUAUGUUUUACGUAUAAUAUAUAAUUGCAUGGAAAUAAAAA
Peromyscus maniculatus bairdii (prairie deer mouse) is the source of this 342-nucleotide non-coding RNA. The record is from RefSeq and is a predicted model, not a curated record. Lineage: Eukaryota; Metazoa; Chordata; Mammalia; Rodentia; Cricetidae.